AACGAACGCUGGCGGCAUGCCUAACACAUGCAAGUCGAACGAGACCUUCGGGUCUAGUGACGCACGGGUGCGUAACGCGUGGGAACCUGCCCUUAGGUUCGGAAUAACUCCCCGAAAGGGGUGCUAAUACCGGAUAAUGCCUUCGGACCAAAGAUUUAUCGCCUUUGGAUGGGCCCGCGUUGGAUUAGCUAGUUGGUAGGGUAAAAGCCUACCAAGGCGACGAUCCAUAGCUGGUCUGAGAGGAUGAUCAGCCACACUGGGACUGAGACACGGCCCAGACUCCUACGGGAGGCAGCAGUGGGGAAUAUUGGACAAUGGGCGAAAGCCUGAUCCAGCAAUGCCGCGUGAGUGAUGAAGGCCUUAGGGUUGUAAAGCUCUUUUACCCGGGAUGAUAAUGACAGUACCGGGAGAAUAAGCUCCGGCUAACUCCGUG
RNAcentral lists this ribosomal RNA (433 nucleotides) under uncultured bacterium. RNAcentral's name for it is "partial 16S ribosomal RNA". It matches the Rfam family "Bacterial small subunit ribosomal RNA", at positions 29 to 507 of the family's 1533-position model. The record is from RNAcentral.